RNAcentral lists this ribosomal RNA (253 nucleotides) under uncultured bacterium. RNAcentral describes it as "partial 16S ribosomal RNA". It matches the Rfam family "Bacterial small subunit ribosomal RNA", at positions 524 to 776 of the family's 1533-position model. The record is from RNAcentral.
UACGAGAGGCCCAAACGUUAUUCGGAAUUACUGGGCUUAAAGAGUUCGUAGGCGGCGCAGUAAGUAGGGUGUGAAAGCCCUCGGCUCAACCGAGGAAUUGCGCUCUAAACUACUGUGCUUGAGGAAUCUAGAGGUGAGCGGAACUGAUGGUGGAGCGGUGAAAUGCGUUGAUAUCAUCAGGAACACCGGAGGCGAAGGCGGCUCACUGGGGAUUUUCUGACGCUGAGGAACGAAAGCCAGGGGAGCGAACGGG